GCCGGGCGUGGUGGCACAUGCCUGUAGUCUCAGCUACUUGGGAGGCUGAGGUGGGAGGAUCGCUUGAGCCCAGGAGUUCUGGGCUGUAGUGCGCUGUGCUGAUCGGGUGUCCGCACUAAGUUCGGCAUCAAUAUGGUGACCUCCCGGGAGCGGGGGACCACCAGGUUGUCUAAGGAGGGGUGAACCGGCCCAGGUCAGAAACGGAGCAGGUCAAAACUGCUGUGCUGAUCAGUAGUGGGAUCGCACCUGUGAAUACCUGCUGCACUCCAGCCUGGGCAACAUAGUGAGACCCCGUCUCUU
Molecule: signal recognition particle RNA, 300 nt
Filed under: Callithrix jacchus (white-tufted-ear marmoset)
Lineage: Eukaryota; Metazoa; Chordata; Mammalia; Primates; Cebidae
Description: Metazoan signal recognition particle RNA (ENSCJAG00000087363.1)
Rfam family: Metazoan signal recognition particle RNA
About the family: The signal recognition particle (SRP) is a universally conserved ribonucleoprotein. It is involved in the co-translational targeting of proteins to membranes. The eukaryotic SRP consists of a 300-nucleotide 7S RNA and six proteins: SRPs 72, 68, 54, 19, 14, and 9.
Source: Rfam by way of RNAcentral